UGUCCAGCAAUUCCCAAUGCUCCUUAUGUUUAUAUUCCUCUGACUUCUCCUUAUCCAUCAUGUUCACCUGGUAUUGCUUCCCACGGCUUCCAACCUGCACUUAUGCUCUGGUGAGCCCAGGCUGAAAGAGGACCUCCUGGAAGCCAGCCUUCAUGUGACAGGUCUAACAAUCCUGAGUUCACACUGCUGUGAGGAAGCAACAACAACGAAAAGAAUUGUAUUAGUAAUACUGGAAAAAUUUGUGUUUAAGAAGCACUUUCUUGAGGCACAAAGACAUUUUGCAAUGAUUGGAACAUUCCAACCACCAGACCAGAAAAGCCCUGAUAACAGUGGAAUGUCUAGAACAUCACAUCCAACAAGUCCCCUUUCCUGCCCAUGAUCAUGAGCUGAACAUCUACUGUCCUCCAUCCAUGAUUGUGAGCUCUUUGCCUGCUCUCUUGCACAUACUCCCCCUGAACACCCAUGUGCCCCAAAGAACUCAAAACGCAAUGUCAAUAAAGGUAGAAUGGAUUUAGAAAAUCAACAAUAG
Long non-coding RNA from Canis lupus familiaris (dog), 529 nucleotides. RefSeq lists it as uncharacterized. The transcript is spliced from 3 exons. Lineage: Eukaryota; Metazoa; Chordata; Mammalia; Carnivora; Canidae. The record is from RefSeq and is a predicted model, not a curated record.